Molecule: ribosomal RNA, 512 nt
Filed under: Oidiodendron tenuissimum
Lineage: Eukaryota; Fungi; Ascomycota; Leotiomycetes; Myxotrichaceae
Description: eukaryotic LSU rRNA
Rfam family: Eukaryotic large subunit ribosomal RNA
Source: RNAcentral
GCGGCAACAGCUCAAAUUUGAAAUCUGGCCCUUUCAGGGCCCGAGUUGUAAUUUGGAGAAGAUGCUUCGGGUGUGGCCCCGGUCUAAGUUCCUUGGAACAGGACGUCACAGAGGGUGAGAAUCCCGUACGUGCCCGGUGGCCGCGCCCGUGUGAAGCUCUUUCGACGAGUCGAGUUGUUUGGGAAUGCAGCUCAAAAUGGGUGGUAAAUUUCAUCUAAAGCUAAAUAUUGGCCAGAGACCGAUAGCGCACAAGUAGAGUGAUCGAAAGAUGAAAAGCACUUUGGAAAGAGAGUUAAACAGUACGUGAAAUUGUUGAAAGGGAAGCGCUUGCAACCAGACUUGCGCGCGGCCGAUCAUCCGGUGUUCGCACCGGUGCACUCGACCGCGCGCAGGCCAGCAUCGGUUUGGGUGGCUGGAGAAAGGCCUCGGGAAUGUGGCUCCCUCCGGGGAGUGUUAUAGCCCGAGGCGCAAUGCAGCCUAUCCGGACCGAGGACCGCGCUUCGGCUAGGAUG